GGGGGUUGGAAAGUUUUUCGGUCUGGGUGGGCUCGCGGCCUAUCAGCUUGUUGGUGAGGUAAUGGCUCACCAAGGCGUCGACGGGUAGCCGGCCUGAGAGGGUGACCGGCCACACUGGGACUGAGACACGGCCCAGACUCCUACGGGAGGCAGCAGUGGGGAUUAUUGCACAAUGGGCGGAAGCCUGAUGCAGCAACGCCGCGUGAGGGAUGACGGCCUUCGGGUUGUAAACCUCUUUUAGCAGGGAAGAAGCGAGAGUGACGGUACCUGCAGAAAAAGCGCCGGCUAACUACGUGCCAGCA
Molecule: ribosomal RNA, 302 nt
Filed under: Microbacterium hominis
Lineage: Bacteria; Bacillati; Actinomycetota; Actinomycetes; Micrococcales; Microbacteriaceae
Description: bacterial SSU rRNA
Rfam family: Bacterial small subunit ribosomal RNA
Source: RNAcentral